GAGGGUAUAGCUCAGUGGUAAAGCAUAUGCUUAGCAUGCUCAAGAUCUUGGGUUCAAUCCCCAGUACCUCCA
RNAcentral lists this transfer RNA (72 nucleotides) under Camelus bactrianus (Bactrian camel). It matches the Rfam family "tRNA". From Rfam's summary of the family: Transfer RNA (tRNA) molecules are approximately 80 nucleotides in length. Their secondary structure includes four short double-helical elements and three loops (D, anti-codon, and T loops). RNAcentral also lists the same sequence under 2 other names. The record is from Rfam by way of RNAcentral. Lineage: Eukaryota; Metazoa; Chordata; Mammalia; Artiodactyla; Camelidae.